UGUCCCCUUUUUGGUCAUUGGUGUCCCCUCCUCGUCAACGGUGUCCCCCCUUGGUCAUUGGUGUCCGUUCCUUGGUCAUUGGUGUCCCCUCCUUGUCAACGGUGUCCCCUUCUUGGUCAUUGGUGUCCCCUUUUUGGUCAUUGGUGUCCCUUCCUCAUCAACGACGUCCCCUCCUCGUCAGUGGUGUCCCCUCCUUGGUCAACGGUGUCCCCUCCUUAGUCAAUGGUGUCCCCUCCUCGUCAACGGUGUCCCCCCUUGGUCAUUGGUGUUCCCCCCUUGGUCAUUGGUGUCCCCUCCUUGUCAUUGGUGUCCCCUUCUUGGUCAACGAUGUCCCCUCCUUAGCCAAUGGUGUCCCCUCCUCGUCAACCGUGUCCCCUCCUCGGUCAUUGGUGUCCCCUUUUUGGUCAACGGUGUCCCUCCUUGGUCAACGGUGUCCCCCCUUGGUCAUUGGUGUCCCCUUUUUGGUCAUUGGUGUCCCCUCCUUGGUCAUUGGUGUCCCCCCCUCAGUCAUUGGUGUCCCCUCCUUGGUCGGCCAUGUUCUCCUGUCCUUGGUUGACCAUGUCCCCUUCCUUGGCCAAUGGUGUCCCCUUCCUUGGUCAACCGUGCCCCCUCGUGGCCACCUGGGUCCUUUUGCUGGCCACCUGUGUCCCCCGGGGCCGCGGUGGCCGGAGCUGUUUGUCACCCGGCCACCUGGGUCCCUGAUGGCGGUGGUGGCACCACAGGCGGUGUCGGGGAAGUUCACGCCCAUCACGCAGUGGCUCUACUUCGACGCGCUCGAGUGUCUCCCCGAGGAGAACAAGGAGACGCUGCUCACCGAGGAGCAGUGCCGCCCGGUGAGCACCCGCGGGGGCACCCUUCGGGCGUGGGGGUGGGGGGGUGGCACCCGUGGGAGACCCCUGCUUGGGCAUCCUCUUGGGGUGGGCGUCACCCACGGGGAAGCUGUGGGUUGGUGUCUUCUUGGGGUUGGUCAGCUCCUUGGGGAUGGCCACCCAUG
This 994-nucleotide long non-coding RNA is filed under the name Anser brachyrhynchus (Pink-footed goose). RNAcentral's name for it is "lncRNA (ENSABRG00000009851.1)". The record is from RNAcentral. Lineage: Eukaryota; Metazoa; Chordata; Aves; Anseriformes; Anatidae.